RNAcentral lists this ribosomal RNA (1243 nucleotides) under uncultured Sebacinales. Its description in RNAcentral is "eukaryotic LSU rRNA". Lineage: Eukaryota; Fungi; Basidiomycota; Agaricomycetes; Sebacinales. The record is from RNAcentral.
UCCGUAGGUGAACCUGCGGAAGGAUCAUUAAUGAAUUAAAGUCGGUCUUCUGUGCUGGUGGUGACACAUGUGCACGUUGAUCGCAAAUCCACACACCUGUGCACCUUUGACUUUAGGAUCCGCUUGUUGGCUUGUCUGACUUGCAGCUGAUGUUGGUUUUGUGCUCAUCUGGAUCUUAGAGUAAUUUUACACACUCUGAAUGUAAUGGAAUGUUCCUGUGCAUAAUGCGCAAAAUACAACUUUCAACAACGGAUCUCUUGGCUCUCGCAUCGAUGAAGAACGCAGCGAAAUGUGAUAAGUAAUGUGAAUUGCAGAAUUCAGUGAAUCAUCGAAUCUUUGAACGCACCUUGCACCCUUUGGUAUUCCAAAGGGUACACCCGUUUGAGUGUCAUUGUAAUCUCACUUCAUCAGCUUUUGUUGAUGGAGGUGGACUUGGACUCUGUUGUGUCAUUACAACUGGUCUGAAAUGUGUGAGUGCACCCUGCUGUUGCAGCGUCCUCAGUGUGAUAAGCAUCUUCACUGAAUCAAGUUCCUUUGGGACACGUGUGUAAUGUGGGCUCUGUGCUGGCAAACUGUCUUUGGACAAUCUUGACAAUUUGACCUCAGAUCGAGUGGGACUACCCGCUGAACUUAAGCAUAUCAAUAAGCGGAGGAAAAGAAACUAACAAGGAUUCCCCUAGUAACGGCGAGUGAAGAGGGAAAAGCUCAAAUUUUGAAUCUGGUGCCUUUGGCAUCCGAGUUGUAAUCUAGAGAAGUGUUUUCUGCCUUGGACCACACAUAAAUUCCCUGGAAUGGGGUGUCAUAGAGGGUGAGAAUCCYGUUUGUGGUGUGGACUACCUUGGCUCUGUGAUACACUCUCAACGAGUCGAGUUGUUUGGGAAUGCAGCUCAAAAUGGGUGGUAAAUUCCAUCUAAAGCUAAAUAUUGGCGAGAGACCGAUAGCGAACAAGUACCGUGAGGGAAAGAUGAAAAGCACUUUGGAAAGAGAGUGAAACAGUACGUGAAAUUGUUGAAAGGGAAGCGUUUGAAGUCAGUCACAUUGGUCAGAAUUCAGCCUGGCUUAUGCCUGGUGUACUUUCUGGCAAAUGGGUCAGCGUCAAUUUUGACCGAGGGAGAAAGACUUGAGGAAGGUGGCUGUCUUUGGGCAGUGUUAUAGCCUCUUGUUGUAAUGCUCGGUUGGGAUUGAGGAUCGCAGCACGCCUUAUGGCCGGGGUUCGCGCCCUCGGUACGUGCUUAGGACGCUG